CCUACGGGAGGCAGCAGUAGGGAAUCUUCCACAAUGGGCGAAAGCCUGAUGGAGCAACGCCGCGUGGGUGAAGAAGGUCUUCGGAUCGUAAAACCCUGUUGUUAGAGAAGAAAGUGCGUGAGAGUAACUGUUCACGUUUCGACGGUAUCUAACCAGAAAGCCACGGCUAACUACGUGCCAGCAGCCGCGGUAAUACGUAGGUGGCAAGCGUUAUCCGGAUUUAUUGGGCGUAAAGGGAACGCAGGCGGUCUUUUAAGGCUGAUGUUAAAGCCUUCGGCUUAACCGGAGUAGUGCAUUGGAAACUGGGAGACUUGAGUGCAGAAGAGGAGAGUGGAACUCCAGGUGUAGCGGUGAAAUGCGUAGAUAUAUGGAAGAACACCAGUGGCGAAGGCGGCUCUCUGGUCUGUAACUGACGCUGAGGUUCGAAAGCGUGGGUAGCAAACAGGAUUAGAUACCCCAGUAGUC
RNAcentral lists this ribosomal RNA (465 nucleotides) under uncultured bacterium. RNAcentral's name for it is "partial 16S ribosomal RNA". It matches the Rfam family "Bacterial small subunit ribosomal RNA", at positions 338 to 795 of the family's 1533-position model. The record is from RNAcentral.